ACGUAGGGUGCAAGCGUUGUCCGGAAUUAUUGGGCGUAAAGAGCUCGUAGGCGGUCUGUCGCGUCGGAUGUGAAACCCUGGGGCUCAACUCCAGGCCUGCAUUCGAUACGGGCAGACUAGAGUGUGGUAGGGGAGACUGGAAUUCCUGGUGUAGCGGUGAAAUGCGCAGAUAUCAGGAGGAACACCGGUGGCGAAGGCGGGUCUCUAGGCCAAUACUGACGCUGAGGAGCGAAAGCGUGGGGAGCAAACAGGAUUAGAUACCCUGGUAGUCCACGCCGUAAACGUUGGGCGCUAGGUGUGGGGAACAUUUCACGUUCUCCGUGCCGCAGCUAACGCAUUAAGCGCCCCGCCUGGGGAGUACGGCCGCAAGGCUA
This 374-nucleotide ribosomal RNA is filed under the name uncultured bacterium. Its description in RNAcentral is "bacterial SSU rRNA". It matches the Rfam family "Bacterial small subunit ribosomal RNA", at positions 525 to 896 of the family's 1533-position model. The record is from RNAcentral.